GAUGAACGCUGGCGGCGUGCCUAAUACAUGCAAGUCGAGCGAACAGACGAGGAGCUUGCUCCUCUGACGUUAGCGGCGGACGGGUGAGUAACACGUGGAUAACCUACCUAUAAGACUGGGAUAACUUCGGGAAACCGGAGCUAAUACCGGAUAAUAUAUUGAACCGCAUGGUUCAAUAGUGAAAGACGGUUUUGCUGUCACUUAUAGAUGGAUUCGCGCCGCAUUAGCUAGUUGGUAAGGUAACGGCUUACCAAGGCAACGAUGCGUAGCCGACCUGAGAGGGUGAUCGGCCACACUGGAACUGAGACACGGUCCAGACUCCUACGGGAGGCAGCAGUAGGGAAUCUUCCGCAAUGGGCGAAAGCCUGACGGAGCAACGCCGCGUGAGUGAUGAAGGUCUUCAGAUCGUAAAACUCUGUUAUUAGGGAAGAACAAAUGUGUAAGUAACUAUGCACGUCUUGACGGUACCUAAUCAGAAAGCCACGGCUAACUACGUG
Molecule: ribosomal RNA, 497 nt
Filed under: uncultured bacterium
Lineage: Bacteria
Description: partial 16S ribosomal RNA
Rfam family: Bacterial small subunit ribosomal RNA
Source: RNAcentral